Molecule: ribosomal RNA, 253 nt
Filed under: uncultured bacterium
Lineage: Bacteria
Description: partial 16S ribosomal RNA
Rfam family: Bacterial small subunit ribosomal RNA
Source: RNAcentral
UACGAAGGGAGCUAGCGUUGUUCGGAAUUACUGGGCGUAAAGAGCGCGUAGGCGGUCUGUAAAGUUAGGAGUGAAAGCCCAAGGCUUAACCUUGGAACUGCUCUUAAAACUCAUAGACUAGAGAUUGGUAGAGGAUGGUGGAAUUCCUAGUGUAGAGGUGAAAUGCGUAGAUAUUGGGAAGAACACCUGAGGCGAAGGCGGGUUGCUGGGCCGACACUGACGCUGAGGCGCGAAAGCCAGGGGAGCAAACGGG